AGCGAACGCUGGCGGCAGGCCUAACACAUGCAAGUCGAACGAACUCUUCGGAGUUAGUGGCGGACGGGUGAGAAACACGUGGGAACGUGCCUUUUGGUUCGGAAUAACUCAGGGAAACUUGUGCUAAUACCGAGUGUGCCCUUCGGGGGAAAGAUUUAUCGCCAUUAGAGCGGCCCGCGUCUGAUUAGCUAGUUGGUGAGGUAACGGCUCACCAAGGCGACGAUCAGUAGCUGGUCUGAGAGGAUGACCAGCCACACUGGGACUGAGACACGGCCCAGACUCCUACGGGAGGCAGCAGUGGGGAAUCUUGCGCAAUGGGCGAAAGCCUGACGCAGCCAUGCCGCGUGAAUGAUGAAGGUCUUAGGAUUGUAAAAUUCUUUCACCGGGGACGAUAAUGACGGUACCCGGAGAAGAAGCCCCGGCUAACUUCGUG
Molecule: ribosomal RNA, 433 nt
Filed under: uncultured bacterium
Lineage: Bacteria
Description: partial 16S ribosomal RNA
Rfam family: Bacterial small subunit ribosomal RNA
Source: RNAcentral